RNAcentral lists this transfer RNA (73 nucleotides) under Bangia fuscopurpurea. Its description in RNAcentral is "tRNA-Arg". It matches the Rfam family "tRNA". Rfam says of the family: Transfer RNA (tRNA) molecules are approximately 80 nucleotides in length. Their secondary structure includes four short double-helical elements and three loops (D, anti-codon, and T loops). Further hydrogen bonds mediate the characteristic L-shaped molecular structure. tRNAs have two regions of fundamental functional importance: the anti-codon, which is responsible for specific mRNA codon recognition, and the 3' end, to which the tRNAs corresponding amino acid is attached (by aminoacyl-tRNA synthetases). tRNAs cope with the degeneracy of the genetic code in two manners: having more than one tRNA (with a specific anti-codon) for a particular amino acid; and 'wobble' base-pairing, i.e. permitting non-standard base-pairing at the 3rd anti-codon position. Lineage: Eukaryota; Rhodophyta; Bangiophyceae; Bangiales; Bangiaceae. The record is from RNAcentral.
GAGCACGUAACUCAGUGGAUAGAGUGUCAGAUUCCGGUUCUGAUGGUCGUGGGUUCGAAUCCCUCCGUGCUUA